Molecule: ribosomal RNA, 253 nt
Filed under: uncultured bacterium
Lineage: Bacteria
Description: partial 16S ribosomal RNA
Rfam family: Bacterial small subunit ribosomal RNA
Source: RNAcentral
UACGUAGGCAGCAAGCGUUGUUCGGAGUUACUGGGCGUAAAGGGUGUGUAGGCGGUUGGUUAAGUUUGGUGUGAAAUCUCCCGGCUCAACUGGGAGGGUGCGCCGAAUACUGAGUGACUCGAGUGCGGGAGAGGAAAGUGGAAUUCCUGGUGUAGCGGUGAAAUGCGUAGAUAUCAGGAGGAACACCGGUGGUGUAGACGGCUUUCUGGACCGUAACUGACGCUGAAACACGAAAGCGUGGGUAGCAAACAGG